GGAGAGGUGCCGGAGCCUGGCUUAACGGGCCCGACUCGAAAUCGGGUGUGCGGGUAGCCCCCGCACCGCGGGUUCAAAUCCCGCCCUCUCCGCCA
RNAcentral lists this transfer RNA (95 nucleotides) under Thermovibrio sp. RNAcentral describes it as "tRNA-Ser". It matches the Rfam family "tRNA". From Rfam's summary of the family: Transfer RNA (tRNA) molecules are approximately 80 nucleotides in length. Their secondary structure includes four short double-helical elements and three loops (D, anti-codon, and T loops). Lineage: Bacteria; Pseudomonadati; Aquificota; Aquificia; Desulfurobacteriales; Desulfurobacteriaceae. The record is from RNAcentral. RNAcentral also lists the same sequence under 1 other name.